CACACGAGUUUGAUCCUGGCUCAGGAUGAACGCUAGCGGCAGGCUUAAUACAUGCAAGUCAAGGGGGUAGCAAUACAACCGGCGCACGGGUGAGUAACGCGUACACAACAUACCAUAUACUGGGGUAUAGCUUCGGGAAACUGGAGAUAAUCCCCCAUAACAUUGCGAGAGGGCAUCUGAUUGCAAUUAAAGUUUCGACGGUAUAUGAUUGGUGUGCGUUUGAUUAGCUUGUUGGUAGGGUAACGGCCUACCAAGGCGACGAUCAAUAGCUGGCGUGAGAGCGCGACCAGCCACACUGGAACUGAGACACGGUCCAGACUCCUACGGGAGGCAGCAGUAGGGAAUAUUGGACAAUGGGCGAAAGCCUGAUCCAGCCAUGCCGCGUGAUAGAUGAAGGCCCUCUGGGUUGUAAAUAUCUUUUAUCUGGGAAGAAACUCCUCUAUUCUUAGAGGCCUGACGGUACCAGAGGAAUAAGCACCGGCUAACUCCGUG
RNAcentral lists this ribosomal RNA (492 nucleotides) under uncultured bacterium. RNAcentral's name for it is "bacterial SSU rRNA". It matches the Rfam family "Bacterial small subunit ribosomal RNA", at positions 1 to 507 of the family's 1533-position model. The record is from RNAcentral.